Small nuclear RNA from Rattus rattus (black rat), 105 nucleotides. Lineage: Eukaryota; Metazoa; Chordata; Mammalia; Rodentia; Muridae. The record is from RefSeq and is a predicted model, not a curated record.
GUCUCGUUUCACCAGCACAUAUAGUAAAAUUGGAACAGUACAGAGAAGAUUAACAUGGCCCCUGUGCAAGGAUGACAUGCAAAUCGUGAAGUGUUCCAUUUAUAA